GCUGUCCCACGCGCCGGGUCCCGUUGGCGCCGGGGCCUCCUGGGACGGCCUGGCCGCGGCCUGCGGGUGUAGGCGCCUCGGCGGCCACCGCGUCCCCAGGGGGCCUCGCGGACGGGGGCGCGGGGCUGCGGGGAGGAGGCGGGCGGGCCCCUCGGGCGACACCGCGGGGCGGGCGGCGGGAAGCCCGGACUCAGCGGUUUCCUGGGCAACCGGCCUCCUCCGGCGCGGCCCGCGCGGCUCCAGGUGGCGGGAGGCGGCGGUUGGCGGGAAGGGCCGCGCGGGCCCGGGGGCGGCGCCUCAGGUAGCAGCGCCAGGUGGCGCCCGUGGGCGGCGGGGCUCCCGGGGAGGCGCCUGCUCCCGCCCACGCCGGGCCCGGCCUUCGCGAGCUUCCUUCUGGAUUCCAGCGCGAAGCCGCCGCGGAAACUCCCCGGGCGGGCAUCGGAGCUCUGGGGCGGGGCGGCCGGGCUCAGAGGGCGGGCGGGAGCAGGCGGGCGGCGAGGGCGGGCAGCAGCAGCGGGAGCAGGGGCGCCCCGGGCGCCGGGGCCGCUGCGCCCGAGCACUGCUGAGACGACAUCCCUUCCAGCGCCGCCACGUAGUCCAGCCCCAGCCAGCCGCGGUCCUGGAAGCACCGCAGGCAGACGACCUGCUCCUCACUGGGCUCAGGCAGGGUCACCCGCCCAGUGCCGCUAGCUGCAAAUUGCUUUACAUACAGUGACCCAAAGAGCAAGUCAUUUCAGGGCCCCACCACUCUGAUUGGAAGUCAUAAGCUUGACAACUGAUUGGCCUCUGUCACCCAAGCGGGUGUGGGGACACUAGGCCCGCAGGUGCCACUGGAAGAGGCGUUCAGAAGCACUGCGGUGCUCCAGCUCCUGGAUGCAGAUAUCUCCCCACAAACCUAAACAAUUUCGAGAGGGACUUGUGUUCUGCAACCAGUCACAGAAUAUCAGGUGAGCUGGGCGUGUCUUCACUGACCCACCCGCCCAGGGAUGCUGCACUCCUCUCCACCCUGCUCAGAAUCACUAGAAUGACCGUUCUGUGGCUACAGCCCUAAAAGAGCUACUAAAAAGACCAGAAGUAGUAUGAGAACUUAUGAAUACGAAUAUAAAUAAAGGACAUCUGGAGAACAUGCA
This 1130-nucleotide long non-coding RNA is filed under the name Homo sapiens (human). Its description in RNAcentral is "long non-coding RNA NONHSAT094381.2". The record is from RNAcentral. Lineage: Eukaryota; Metazoa; Chordata; Mammalia; Primates; Hominidae.